UGGCGGACGGGUGAGUAACGCGUGGGCAACCUGGCCUGUACAGGGGGAUAACACUUAGAAAUAGGUGCUAAUACCGCAUAACGGGGGAAGCCGCAUGGCUUUUCCCUGAAAACUCCGGUGGUGCAGGAUGGGCCCGCGUCUGAUUAGCCAGUUGGCAGGGUAACGGCCUACCAAAGCGACGAUCAGUAGCCGGCCUGAGAGGGCGGACGGCCACACUGGGACUGAGACACGGCCCAGACUCCUACGGAAGGCAGCAG
Molecule: ribosomal RNA, 257 nt
Filed under: uncultured bacterium
Lineage: Bacteria
Description: partial 16S ribosomal RNA
Rfam family: Bacterial small subunit ribosomal RNA
Source: RNAcentral